RNAcentral lists this transfer RNA (72 nucleotides) under Culex quinquefasciatus (southern house mosquito). It matches the Rfam family "tRNA". From Rfam's summary of the family: Transfer RNA (tRNA) molecules are approximately 80 nucleotides in length. Their secondary structure includes four short double-helical elements and three loops (D, anti-codon, and T loops). Further hydrogen bonds mediate the characteristic L-shaped molecular structure. tRNAs have two regions of fundamental functional importance: the anti-codon, which is responsible for specific mRNA codon recognition, and the 3' end, to which the tRNAs corresponding amino acid is attached (by aminoacyl-tRNA synthetases). tRNAs cope with the degeneracy of the genetic code in two manners: having more than one tRNA (with a specific anti-codon) for a particular amino acid; and 'wobble' base-pairing, i.e. permitting non-standard base-pairing at the 3rd anti-codon position. The record is from Rfam by way of RNAcentral. Lineage: Eukaryota; Metazoa; Arthropoda; Insecta; Diptera; Culicidae.
AGGUCGGUGGUGCAGUGGUAAGCGUGGUUGCCUAUCACGACAGUUGGCCUGGGUUCGCUCCCAGUCGGCCUC